UACGUAGGGGGCGAGCGUUAUCCGGAUUCACUGGGUGUAAAGGGAGCGUAGACGGCCAAGCAAGCCAGGGGUGAAAGCCCGGGGCCCAACCCCGGGACUGCCCUUGGAACUGCAUGGCUGGAGUGCGGGAGGGGCAGGCGGAAUUCCUGGUGUAGCGGUGAAAUGCGUAGAUAUUAGGAGGAACACCAGUGGCGAAGGCGGUCUGCUGGACAGCAACUGACGCUGAGGCGCGAAAGCGUGGGGAGCAAACAGG
RNAcentral lists this ribosomal RNA (253 nucleotides) under uncultured bacterium. RNAcentral's name for it is "partial 16S ribosomal RNA". It matches the Rfam family "Bacterial small subunit ribosomal RNA", at positions 524 to 776 of the family's 1533-position model. The record is from RNAcentral.